UCUGCGGCAGAAGCACCGAGUGGCGGGGGCUGCCGACGGAUGGAGCGGUGCAGGCGGCAGUGCUGUGCGGGAGCGGGCAGCGGGACUUUCCCGGGGAUGGCGCCGGGCGGGAGCGAGUGGCACGGUCUGUCCGGAGCCGCCCCGUUGCGCGGUGCAGGCGCGGUCCCGACGGAGGAACAGAGCGAGCAAGGGUGCGCUUCACCACACGCCGGGAGCUGCGGUCCAGGGGACGGUGCGGGCAGCUUUGCUCUGGGAAAAAUCCUGUGCUAUUCGGACUUGGAGGAGGCAGAAGGCCACUCGGGGUCACAGGCCCCUGGGCACGUGUGCUGCACCUUUUCCCUGUGAAACCAAACAUACCCUCCCUGUGCAUUGUCUGUUCGCAGGAGGCGUGCGGCACUCCAAGGGCAUCAAGAGUUCUUGGUGUCGGCAGCUGCGGUCUCUCAGGAAUAGGUCACUGUCCGCAGUUUUGGGGGCAGAAUCCCAGUUUUGGCCACGGGCACAGAGAGAGGACAUACGAUUAAUUUCCUUGGAAAGUAAAGUCUAGCACACCACUGUUUAGAGGGUAGACCUAGGGCUUUGUAGGGGAGGGAACUCCCCACAGCAGCUUUCUUCACCUCAUCCUCCACUCCACGGUGUAGCAGUUCCCCGUGUGACCUUUUAGAGGGUUACCCGGGAAGGAAAUUCAGGGAAGUGAUACAAAGUUUUUUGUGUAACUGACAGCUUGUAAAGGUGCGGGUGUUGGAGUAGUGGCUGCUGCUGCCUAAAAUCUGUCCCCCACAACCCUCUCCUGUGGAAAAGCAAGUUGAGAUAACCUUCAGGCAACGCAAUCAGACCCUCACUCAACACUCACUGCAGCUGGCUCAGCGAUAAAGGCAAGAAAAGCGAGGUAAAAUAAGAGACUGACCACGUAGAGGAGACAGCUGGAGAAGGGGAAGGGGUGGCGGGCGGAGCUAAGGGUUGGGCAGAGGGGUUUGGUCUCCAGGGAAAGAGGGGUGGCCACCAAGGAUACCAAUCCAGUGAGAGGACAGGGAAAGGAGAAAGCAGGGGAAGUUAGAGGCGAAGUUGCGGCGCGGAAGCCCGAAUGGGAGACUGUUUUUCUCCCCAGGAGGAGCACAGCUUCCUGUAUCUCCAGGCUGUGUCAAGUGUGACACUUCAGAUUUUUUCAGCAGCUUCAUCAUGUUACAAGAGGGAUCUGCUCUGUGUUGAAGAUCAUGUUUGAGAUUGAGGCUUCAGAUGAGUAAAGUUGAGGAUUAUGACUAGAGGCUCACUAAGAGGAUAACCGGCAAUCAUGGGGCAUUCUGAGGCCGACUCAUUUCAGGGCCAACAUGGAUUCAUGUUGCCAGUCAUUUUAAAGAUAAGUCGGGGCCACAGCCUGGAGGUGGGAGUAGUGGCCUCCUUCUGCACCCGAUGGGGAUUUGCAUCCCCAGAUAUGUUCAAGAUAAGUCAAGGGCUACAACCCACAGAGGGGAUGGAAGAGAGGUGCCAGGUUGGGACUCCCCAGGAGGGGUUUUUGAGUUAGUUUUGGAGAUGGGGAUGUCCAAGAAUCAUCCCCUUAGGCCACCUAAAGGGAAAGUGUCUGUUUUGAUCUCAGUGCUGAGAUACACAGGGCAGAGCAGUUCCAGUGUGUGUCUUGUCACUUGUCUCUGGUGCAUUCUGUGGUGUUUGGGUCUCUCGGUCCUUGCAGACAUUCUUCUCAUUGAAAGCUCUCUCUCCCUGUCCUGUCCCCUGGUUUGUCAGGUCCUGUCCUGUGUCACGGGUGUCUGCACAUAUUUGUCCCACAGCUGCUCUGCCCUGCUGCAUAGCCUGUAAUAGCACAAGUCCUGGGGGCUUGAAAUUGGUAAUGCGGGGUGUAGUUGGGCUCUAGAUUGUAUGGGGAGAUUGACAUAACAUGUUUGGUGCUGUUAAGUUGUCCUGCAGCCAUUUGACACUAGUCCUAACUUCCUUUCAGAUGCAGACAGUUCAAAUCUGUGGCAGAGAGCCCCAGUCCUGGGUGAGGGUGUUGCCAUGAGCAGGAGGUCCAGGCAGAUAGCAGCAGUCAAGGCCCAUUGUGCUAGGGUCCCAUCCUGGCAAUGUUACUACGCGAGUGCGUAGUGUUUGUUUUGGUGGGCUUGAGGUCCUGCUGAAGCUGAGGACAAAGCCCUACCCCUACCCCUACACGGACAAGGCAGCAGACCUGAUUCAGGAAGGCAGCGUGCUCCCGGUUGCUACUGGACUCUGAUAACAUCAGCAUCCCCGUCUCUCACAUUGAUGGUAUGUGGUAACCCCUUAAGAACAGAAUUCCACGACUUGGGACUGACUACCUUUUCUAAACCUAAGCAGCAAACUGGGGAUGGAUAACACUAGAAAUCCUGUUAUGUAAGGAUCUCCAGGAUUCAGCUCUCCAUGUGUCCUUGGUAUCAGAAGUUGGAAUUGCAGAGUUGCCACUUUACCCCCAAAUGUAAUUUUUGAUGUGGUUGUGCCACUUUAACAGUAUUUGAAAUCUCUCUUUGUGCUCUUGCAGCAGCAUUUUCGAACGACAAUGGACAUUCAGUCCUUCUGCCCGGAGCUGUUCACAGAAUCAAGGAAUCCCAGAAGGGCUUGGAUGGGAAGGCACCUUUUUUUAAAGCUCGUCCCGUUCCACACCCUGCCAUGGGCAGGGACACCUUCCACCAUCCCAGGGUGCUCUAAGCCCUGUCCAGCCUGGCCUUGGACACUUCCAGGGAUCCGGGGGCAGGCACAGCUUCUGUGGGCAACCUGUGCUGGACAGCAGCUUUGAAAGGCAGAGUGAAGAACAGCUGUGAUUUUUGUGCUGCCCCUAACA
Molecule: non-coding RNA, 2800 nt
Organism: Lonchura striata (white-rumped munia)
Lineage: Eukaryota; Metazoa; Chordata; Aves; Passeriformes; Estrildidae
Source: RefSeq, a predicted model, not a curated record